Molecule: long non-coding RNA, 335 nt
Filed under: Elaeis guineensis (African oil palm)
Lineage: Eukaryota; Viridiplantae; Streptophyta; Magnoliopsida; Arecales; Arecaceae
Description: long non-coding RNA (EGUI_LNC060064)
Source: RNAcentral
UCAUUUAGAAAAAUACCAGACGGAUGAUGCCUGCAAUGUCAAUCAAAAAUAAUGGAUCCAUUACCAUUCACCAUAAUGAGAGGCUAUGAUCUAGUAAUCACCAUAACUAGCUAAUUUUAUGAACCUAAUAAUUUAGAGGAUUUAGUUUGAAGGAAAAAAAAUUAUUUCUCCUUUGAUUGCCUAGGUUGCAUCUAAAAAUUUUUUUAUUCAUCUACAUGAUUAAGGAUCAAAUCCUUACCUGAUUAGCAAUGGAACCAGAGAUCAAAUCUCAAUUUAUCUAGAUUAAACCUUCAUGGAGGUCUGGAUAUGUAGAUCCUCUACUUCACAUGCAUGAC